RNAcentral lists this long non-coding RNA (1009 nucleotides) under Takifugu rubripes (torafugu). RNAcentral's name for it is "lncRNA (ENSTRUG00000029184.1)". Lineage: Eukaryota; Metazoa; Chordata; Actinopteri; Tetraodontiformes; Tetraodontidae. The record is from RNAcentral.
GAUAAAUAAUUCAUCAGUACUGGCUGUCGAGUGAAAGUUCACGACAUCUUUUUGAAUUUUUUACACAUGCAUGAAUCAUUAAUUUCUCUCUUCACGUCAGCAGAACUCAGGGAAUUUUAAAAAUGUGCACACAGCUUUCUCAUGGAGGGCGAGAGAGAGAGAGAGACAGAGAGGAUGCCGAAGUCUUCCAGUGUGCACGGGCUCCGCAGCUGUUUCAGACUGAGAUGUGCAAGAGGGAAACUAAAAAUAGGACGCACACACCUCUGAGCCAGCUGCCUCUUCACCGCCUGUGGGACUGCCUCUGUGUCUCCCCUCUCUCCUCUUUCACAGUGCCUGUCUCUCCCCCUCCAUCCUUCCCUCCCUCCCUCUCUAUUCUCCCACUUUCUCAGUGAAUCAGCCCUAGUUUCUUUGGCCAGGCUUGCACCAUCACGAACGACCUGAAACAGGACACCACUUCCCCCGUCUGUCCUCCAUUAGGCGCUGUGGCGGAGCCGGUUGCGGAAACUGUCUGCAUCUAACGAGUCUUUCAGUCUUUUUUUUUGUGGGGAUGGACACAGACCUUAAGAGUAAAGAUUCCUUCAUAAAUCCAAAAACAGGUAUAUCAACAUUAUUUGAAAGGCUUUCAAACACAGAAAACACACCAAUGAUGUUUUUUACAUGUCUAUACUAAGACCAAGGCAGCAAAUGUCCCCUCCUGUUUCAGAGAAUUAUUCAGGACGAAAAGAAAAAUUGACAGCAGAAACAGCAACACUAUAUCCACAAGAAGCUUCUCUUGGGAUAAAAGCAGCACUAUGGUCUGUGCAAAUUAAAUGACUGGCUGAGCUUUACGUGAAAGAAUCCUCCCUUAAUCCAAACAUUUGAUAUGUUGUUCUUCAGUGGGUGGAUGGGCAUUGUAGGCUUUAAAGCAGAAUGCAUCCGUGAUGGAUGUAUGAAUGCACUACAUGACAACGUGGCGAAAAUGUUUAGAUACCUGUGAAGCCCGCUGUCACUUGAGAUUUUAUAUGCUGCG